AGGACGAACGCUGGCGGCGUGCUUAACACAUGCAAGUCGAGCGGUAAGGCCCUUCGGGGUACACGAGCGGCGAACGGGUGAGUAACACGUGGGUGACCUGCCCUCAGCUCUGGGAUAAGCCUGGGAAACUGGGUCUAAUACCGGAUAUGACCACAUGUCGCAUGGUGUGUGGUGGAAAGUGCGUUCUUUAUUGAGCGUUUCGGCUGGGGAUGGGCCCGCGGCCUAUCAGCUUGUUGGUGGGGUGAUGGCCUACCAAGGCGACGACGGGUAGCCGGCCUGAGAGGGCGACCGGCCACACUGGGACUGAGACACGGCCCAGACUCCUACGGGAGGCAGCAGUGGGGAAUAUUGCGCAAUGGGCGAAAGCCUGACGCAGCGACGCCGCGUGGGGGAUGACGGCCUUCGGGUUGUAACCUCUUUCGACCGGGACGAAGCGCGAAGUGACGGUACCGGUAUAAGAAGCACCGGCCAACUACGUGCCAGCAGCCGCGGU
This 493-nucleotide ribosomal RNA is filed under the name uncultured bacterium. Its description in RNAcentral is "SSU rRNA". It matches the Rfam family "Bacterial small subunit ribosomal RNA", at positions 26 to 521 of the family's 1533-position model. The record is from RNAcentral.